CUGGCUCAGGACGAACGCUGGCGGCGUGCCUAAUACAUGCAAGUCGAGCGAACAGAGAAGGAGCUUGCUCCUUUGACGUUAGCGGCGGACGGGUGAGUAACACGUGGGCAACCUACCUUAUAGUUUGGGAUAACUCCGGGAAACCGG
This 147-nucleotide ribosomal RNA is filed under the name Lysinibacillus fusiformis. Its description in RNAcentral is "16S rRNA. Bacterial SSU". It matches the Rfam family "Bacterial small subunit ribosomal RNA", at positions 19 to 160 of the family's 1533-position model. The record is from RNAcentral. Lineage: Bacteria; Bacillati; Bacillota; Bacilli; Caryophanales; Bacillaceae.